Molecule: long non-coding RNA, 1113 nt
Organism: Triticum dicoccoides
Lineage: Eukaryota; Viridiplantae; Streptophyta; Magnoliopsida; Poales; Poaceae
Exons: 5
Source: RefSeq, a predicted model, not a curated record
UAUAAACUAUAUGGAUGGAGUUACGGGACAUUAAGAAAAGAUAUGAGAAAGAAUAUAGAGUGUGAAAUUUGCUAUAUAAAUUACUUGUUAUAUAAAAGUUGAAUCUCACGAUCCAACUUUUUAGAACUAUGCCACAACUUUUAUGAGGCCAUAAGUUUUUCUUUUGAAAUCUGCAGGUUAUAUGAUUUGUACAUGGCGGUGUUACUGAACAGAAGGAGGUAAUUUCUUCGCUCUUUCUAUUGAUUAAUAUUGUUCUUCACUCUUUCUAAACUAUUGAAUUUAUUAAUAUUAUUCUUGCACAAAUUAAUUAAUGAUUAUAUCAUCUUUUGGUCACUCGAGUAAGAUAGAACAUGAUGAUCCUCUCUUAAUUUGGUUUCUCCUCCGCUGAAGAAUAUAGGAAUCACCAGCAGCCCUUCUCUAGUUCCGAGGAAGUGCUCAACCUAGACGUUGUUGGCCGAAGGAGGGGCGGAGCAGGUGCCAGUCAAGUAGGCGGCUCAAUGGGUGGGAGAUGGCAGCUGCCGAUCUCACACGGCUCAUGCGCCCCGCGACCCUCCCCUCCCCGGCUAAGUAGGAGGUUCGAGGGCAGCGACUAAGGAAGGAGCACAUCGGCGAUGAGGGCUAGCAAUAGCAAGACAAUUGCCAGGUGCAAUCGAUAUGCCGCCACGUCGGCCCUUCACGCGCGCCCGCCAGGGCUCAGAUCGGCGAGACCCGUGCCAAUGCACGAGGUACAAUAUUGGUUAAUUUUCCAUCUCCAAUCAGAUUAAUGGUUUGCAUGCAGACCAAGCCCAGUGUUUUAUGGUGUUCUUAUUCCUGAUUUAGUUGUACAUUUGACUUUUAGUUUCUUCAUAGAUAAUAAAGUAGUGGCAGAUGAACCAAGUCCAUGGUAUCAUACGAUUUGAAGUUGAAAAAAUCAUGCUAUGGGUGAUACGGAAAAGUCAUUGCCUUCUUUGCUGGAACAUUUCCUAAGAUGAUCUAAGGUGAAGCAUUUAUGAAUAUCCUCGCUGAUCUAUGGAUCUAUCAUUGUAAGAGUCGAUAAUAUAUGGUGAGCUGCCUCACACCAUCAUUUGGUCUUCGUAGCAUUUGAGUUGGCAAAUUUGUUGGAUUCAUGCGAUU